Molecule: long non-coding RNA, 540 nt
Organism: Cyprinus carpio (common carp)
Lineage: Eukaryota; Metazoa; Chordata; Actinopteri; Cypriniformes; Cyprinidae
Source: Ensembl
GGGAGGACAGUUUAUACCUUCAGUUCACUGGAGCUACUUGAUUGCAGACUAACUGAAUGGUCUCUGGAAAGAUUAGGCAAGGCUGCAGGCAUCAGCUACCUCACCACUCUCUGCCUGGACUACACAUGCAUGGGACAGGAAGGGUUGAAAGGUUUGCUGACUGGUGGUUGGGGGCCAGUCAAAUAUCUUCCCUGAGUUUGUGAUAUUGUGGUUGGAGUUCAUGGAGCGGAGCUCUGCUAGCUUCACUCCUCACCAACAAUUCUGUUAGGUACGGAUUGUUACAACCAUUGAUGCUUAUGUUUUUCAUUAACCUAUGAGUCUCUGUGACUCCUGGGAUCCAUCAGCUUCUGCAGAAACAUUUCAUCACAUAUUAAUUCAUGAAUGUGAGCUUCAGCCGAUGACUGCUUACAGCUGACGACAUCUUUCUGGUCCACAGGGGUUUUAUGAGUUGAUAUGAGUAACAGGGCCCUCUCUUAUGUGGGCUUAAAGAAAGGCUAUUUUGACAAUCCACUAGAUCAGCCGCACACUUUCCACCACUCU